This 471-nucleotide unclassified non-coding RNA is filed under the name Bombus terrestris (buff-tailed bumblebee). RNAcentral's name for it is "misc RNA ENSBTSG00005025365.1". Lineage: Eukaryota; Metazoa; Arthropoda; Insecta; Hymenoptera; Apidae. The record is from RNAcentral.
UUUAUUUUGAAUCAUUUUAGCAACUGAGGCUCAAUCUUUAUUUUAAUUUAACAAGGAAACAUAAAAUAUACAAAAACCAAGGAUCUUCUAAUCAAAGCAUCAACAGUUAUAUAAUAUGCGGUCAUAAUAAUAUGCGAGCAAACGAAAAUGCUGUUACCCUGUUACUCUUCAUCUUACGCGACGAUACAUCGCUCGAUGAUGGUGUUAAUCGUCCCAUUAAUAAAAACUAACGACCGUCGUAUUUACAGUUUCGUGCGUGUAUCUUGCGCGCCUUCGGAAACACAAAGGGGAAAGCAAUUCGCAGCAGCCGCGUUUGGCGCGACGACUGCUACGCUGCCGAUGAAUUUCGCGUUACACGCAAUCAACCGCUGGAAGGUUAAUUAAUGAUCAGACAUGCUUGGCCAGUACUUGACGGGGCUUCAUACACAUCGGCGCGGUGCGGCGCGGUGCGGCGUCUUGGUACUUUAUAAC